GGUGCUUUCCUUGACGUUGUAUGAAAUGAUGUAUGUAUGUGCCUUCUUGUGAGUCGUAGUAGGGUAUGACGUACAUGUAGUUACAUUGUAUAUGUAGGUGCCAACUUGAUGAUACAAAAGGAUGCGUUUAAGUGCAUCCUUAAGGGCCGUAAUGGUUAUUUUACUACACUUGAUUAUCAUUGCUGGUCAUGGUGGAGGAGAUCUUG
This 206-nucleotide long non-coding RNA is filed under the name Mytilus galloprovincialis (Mediterranean mussel). The record is from RNAcentral. Lineage: Eukaryota; Metazoa; Mollusca; Bivalvia; Mytilida; Mytilidae.